AUCAGUAACAAUUAAGUCUUCAUAAUUCAACUAAAAAACCAAACUGAAAAACAAAAUAUUAAUUGAAUAUUGGAAAUAUAAUUGGAAAGCUCGACAGCCCGUAGCGAGCAUUUUCAAAGAACCACCAGCCAUGAUGCCCAGCAGGUUCGACCAAGUACGUCAGAAGUUACUAAAACGGGAGUUACAGUUUUCUAAAACCACUGAAGCAAACUCAAAAUGCAAGCAUUAUUUGCGAUGUUUACCUCGGUACAUAAUAAUGUGUCACUUACUUGUAUUCGCACCUUUCCCUGCUCUGCAUCAAGAUGAAAAAAGCUAUGCGUGUAUACGUUUUGACUCUACUAUUCAUACAUCAAUAUCAG
This is a long non-coding RNA of Cloeon dipterum, 359 nucleotides long. RefSeq lists it as uncharacterized. NCBI's taxonomy places the organism in Eukaryota, Metazoa, Arthropoda, Insecta, Ephemeroptera, Baetidae. The record is from RefSeq and is a predicted model, not a curated record. The transcript has 3 exons.